Molecule: ribosomal RNA, 684 nt
Filed under: uncultured bacterium
Lineage: Bacteria
Description: bacterial SSU rRNA
Rfam family: Bacterial small subunit ribosomal RNA
Source: RNAcentral
ACUCCUACGGGAGGCAGCAGUAGGGAAUAUUGGACAAUGGGCGCAAACCUGAUCCAGCCAUGCCGCGUGUGUGAAGAAGGCCUUCGGGUUGUAAAGCACUUUUGUCCGGAAAGAAAAGCACUGGGUGAAUACCCUGGUGUCCUGACGGUACCGGAAGAAUAAGCACCGGCUAACUUCGUGCCAGCAGCCGCGGUAAUACGAAGGGUGCAAGCGUUACUCGGAAUUACUGGGCGUAAAGCGUGCGUAGGUGGUUUGUUAAGUCUGAUGUGAAAGCCCUGGGCUCAACCUGGGAAUGGCAUUGGAUACUGGCGAGCUAGAGUGCGGUAGAGGGUAGUGGAAUUCCCGGUGUAGCAGUGAAAUGCGUAGAGAUCGGGAGGAACACCAGUGGCGAAGGCGACUACCUGGACCAGCACUGACACUGAGGCACGAAAGCGUGGGGAGCAAACAGGAUUAGAUACCCUGGUAGUCCACGCCCUAAACGAUGCGAACUGGAUGUUGGGCUCAACUUGGAGCUCAGUAUCGAAGCUAACGCGUUAAGUUCGCCGCCUGGGGAGUACGGUCGCAAGACUGAAACUCAAAGGAAUUGACGGGGGCCCGCACAAGCGGUGGAGUAUGUGGUUUAAUUCGAUGCAACGCGAAGAACCUUACCUGGCCUUGACAUCCACGGAACUUUCCAGAGAUGGA